CACGUAGGCUGUUAUGUAAGUCAGGGGUGAAAUCCCACGGCUCAACCGUGGAACUGCCCUUGAUACUGCACGACUUGAAUCCGGGAGAGGGUGGCGGAAUUCCAGGUGUAGGAGUGAAAUCCGUAGAUAUCUGGAGGAACAUCAGUGGCGAAGGCGGCCACCUGGACCGGUAUUGACGCUGAGGUGCGAAAGCGUGGGGAGCAAACA
RNAcentral lists this ribosomal RNA (207 nucleotides) under uncultured bacterium. RNAcentral's name for it is "partial 16S ribosomal RNA". It matches the Rfam family "Bacterial small subunit ribosomal RNA", at positions 568 to 774 of the family's 1533-position model. The record is from RNAcentral.